UUAAAAUAAACCUGCCUUUUUCCAUUUAGCAUUUUAUCAAAUGAAUGUAAUUUUGUUUGCUGAUGAAUUUAGUUCAGCAUCAGGGGGAUUUUUCUCUUCUUCCCGGGGAGGCUGGAGAAUCAGGAUUGUCAUGCCAAAGGAUGAAAAACAAGAUUAGGGAGAAAAGACAGGCUGAUACUGACAGAGGCUAAUUAGGUAGAAGGAUGCUGGGAAGACAAGCGCCUAAGGAGGAUCCAUGCCGCAGCGCAGAGGGAGAGCUGAGGGUGCCGGGCUGCCCAGACAGCAUCAUUGAGGAUGGGACCACCACCCCCCAGUCUCAAGCUGCUCUGCAGCUUGGAAACUCUGCAAAGCUAGCCAUGGGGAAGAGACUAUCAAGAUCUUAUGUAUUCCAAGCUAGCCUCAAAUUCUGCUCCUCUGCUCUUGACUGCAGAACCAAACCUCCAGACCCAGAUGGACAUUUAUUUUGACGAAAAUCGCAUCGAAUCUCCAUACCUCUUCGAUGUUUGGACUCAUCUCAUGGAAGCAAGUGUUCACCAUGAAAAGUAGGGAAGGUGGAGUGUUCCCGUCCGGCAGCAAAAAUCCUUCCUCCUCAGUGUGCACCGUGUGCCUUUCAAACACUGGUGGGAUGGGAUUACGCUUGUUUCUAGAAAGACAGUGCUGAUUGACUGUGACUGGAUGUGAGUCACAGUUGAGCUGCUGACAGCUGUUCUUGUUAAUUGUGGUUUAAACGUUUUAUAUGAUGGCUAUAUUUCCUUAGGCUGGGUGAGCAACAAAGCCUAGCCCCGGAGCUGGAAGAGCCACCGUUCUCAGGGAGCACUAGCAACUGAAGUUUGUGUGAAACGACCGUGCCCUCUGACCUUAUGUUGGACUUCCCAGUGUUAAGGCUUGUGCCUGUGAGCACAGUUGCCAUUUAUCAUGGCGCCUCCUUAGAACCUCUAUGACAAGAGAAAAACAUCAAAGGCAGAACAGAUGGUUUCUAAGUAGAGAAAAAAAAAACAACAAAAAACAACAGUGGUUAAAGUGUGUGUUUUUCCAUUGAUAAAGAAAUAGUUAUUUGGAAGAAAAAUACUCCUGAAUGUUUACAGAGAGACUUGGUGCCUUUCCUUCUCCCUGAUGUCUUGCUGCAUGUAUACACGACUGUGGACUGCGCAAUGGACCAUCACAGGUAACAAGGUGGCGAUUCAAUUAAUUUUUAAAAAAAUAUAUGUCUACAAGGUUACAAAAUAGAUACAUUCUUUUUUUUUUCCUUACUGUCUUCUUACAUCAUGGCUUCAGCAAUACAGCGUUAACACCUUGUUUUCAUGGCCCUUACAUUGUCUUCAGCACUUAUCAGUCAUCUAGAGAGGAGUCCAGGUAGAAGGCAGCACGCACUUAGAACACAUACAAGCACUAUACCAACUUACACAAGGGACUUGAGUGCCUGUCAAUCAGAGGACUUGGUGUCAGCCUCCCGACACCAAGGGACAACUGCAUUACUUUUAUAAAUCUGAAAAAUUUCUGAAAACCACAUCAGCCCUCUCUUUCCCCUCAAUUCUUGAAAUAUACUAUAAAAAAUAUACUACAAAAAAAAAAUAACAUUUUACUCCCUGUCAAUGGAUAAAGAAACACCUUGUUGGUUGUGGUGUUCUUACACCAGUCAAAGGCAGAGCAGGUGAUAGUAUUUCGUUCAUUCUAGCUUGAUGCCUGUCUUGGUGGCUAAUGUUGUUUUAUGCCUAGGACACAUCAAAAUCAAAAUCAAAUCAAAUCUAAUACAGGGCAGUGCAGCACAGGAGGAGAAAGACAUACAGAAACCUGCAGACCACAAACCUGUUCUCUGGUAGAUGGGCACAAGUGGCCUUAGACACACAUUUACUAGAGGAGGUCACCCAAGCUACCACCAGCCAUGCAGCCAGCCUGAAUCAGGAGCCACCACAUGUGCAGGUAUGUGGUGGUCAGAUGGAAGAGAGAGAAGUGGAGCAGCUUGAGUAUUAUGAAGAGAGAUGGAAUUGGAGACUAGAGCACGCAAGAAAUAGCCUGCUGUGAGUGGCCAGUCCUGCCACCUGGGGCCAUGCUGAGGUCCCAGCCUGAACUGCCACUGAGGGCCAUGUCUGGGUCUGUGCCUAGGCAUUGGCAUGGGGCAGUGUGUGCAUGUCCUUGGUUCGUAUUACCAUUAGAAACAAUGAGACGUCCCUGGUCAGGCAGCCACCAGGGACCACGAGGAUGUCCAGGGGGCUGUGGAGAACUGGCUCCACCCCUCACUAGCUGAGAUGCUCUGGAGAGCUAGCCCUGCCCCUCACCAGCUGCAGCUCUCAGGAGAGUGGUCCCUGCACUUCACCUGGACAGCACAGCAGAGCUGUCCCUGGCAGUGAGAACACAUGUGAACUGGCCCAAGGGUGAAAGCACUGAAGAGCUAACCCUGCCACUCAUCAGCCAUGAGGUAACAACAUGUCUGUGAGAGAAAAGAAGAUGCCCUCCCCCACAUUACCCCUCACCACCUCUGGCAGCAAAGAGAGCUAGUCCUGGGAUCAUGAGACUGGGAUGAGCUGGCCCUGUCCCUCACCAGCUUCAGCACUUGGAAGAGCAGGCCCUGGACUGCAUGAGUGAGGAAGAGCUAGAUCAGCCCCUCUCAAAAUUCAGGACAUGAGAGUGGGCCCUGUGCCUUGGCUGUGCAGCACAGUGGAGCUGUCUCUGAAGGCAUGGGCGUGAGUGAGCCGGCCCUGAGGGCAUAAGAGCAGAAGAGCUAGCCCUGCCUCCUGCUGAUGGCAGCAUUUGGUGGCCGAAGCAGUACUGGAGAGCUUACCCUGGUAGUGUGGAUAGAGAGAGCCAGAGUGUUGACCAACCCAGCUACCACCCAGCCCCAGAUCCUGGGCCCUGAGUUGGCCCAUUCCAAAAAUCUAUAGCAUAUGCAAACAGUUGGGAUGCAUGAAAGGGCCAGCCCUGCUGAUCCAAAGCUGCAGAAUCUCCAUGGCACAGGGCAACAACAGGAUAUCUGGGAGGAGGCCUGGUGAGGAUCCAACAUUGAUGAUGUCCCAGAAGCCAAAGAUCUCUCACUAGACCAACGAUUCUACUACAAUAAACAUUUGCAAGUGAAAAUGUGUAGACAGAGGAUUAUACUGUGGGACACACAGUGACACACUACAUCUCAUCCACAAUGAGAUGUUUUCUAUGCUUUGUUGGUUGUUGUUGCUGUUCUUGUUGCUGCUGCUGUUGUUGUGUGUGUGUGUGUGUGUGUGUGUGUGUUAUUUUGGGAAGGAGGUUGCAAGUGUCAAAGGUGGAUAUGAGGGGACGGGGAGAUGCACAGGACUGGGGUGCAUAAUAUAAAACUCACAAAGAAUCAAUGAAAAGUCUUUUAAAAGAAAUAACAUUUAUACAUCAAUAUGUUGGUAAAUAAGAACCUUGGCGUCACACAAAGGAACACAUGGAUAAAGUGGAAUUUAGAAUGAUAAAGAAACAAAGGAGUGAGCAAGCUUUAGGUCAAGACAAUCAACACAUUUACUGCCUGUGUGCCUUAGUUUAGAUAAUGGAUGAUGGCAACUUUCCUCUUUACAUCCUUUACUGAUUAACAAACAAACAUGAAAACUCCUGAAGAAGCAAGCUGGGCUCUGGGGCCUGGGAAUAGGACCUUGCUGGCAGUUUCGACCCUGCCGGCAAGAUGGAACUUGUUCCUGAGAUGGCUGGACCCAGGAAACUGUCUCUUAACAAGAGUGGGAUCCAUCCUCUUCUCUCCCUUAACCUAGCAUCCUGGCACCACUCCCUGAGGCCCACAGGUUCUGCCUCUACUAGUAUAGGACUCAACGUCUCUGGAAACUCCUCAUCCCUCCUCUCAACAGCCCUGUGUUCAUCGUCUCACACACAGGGACAUUCAGACCAACGGGUCUCAACCUUCCUGAUGCAGCAACGCUUUUAUAUGGUUCCUCAUGUUGUGGUGACCCCCAACCAUACAAUUAUUUCAUUGCUACUUCAUAACUGUAAUUUUGCUGCUGUUACGGAUCAUAAUGUAAAUAUUAGCCUAGCUAAUAUGCUACUCCGAAGGUGCUGCGCCCCACACGUUGAGAACCACUGAUUUAGGCCUUUCUCGCUGGAGUCA
Meriones unguiculatus (Mongolian gerbil) is the source of this 4066-nucleotide long non-coding RNA. RefSeq lists it as uncharacterized. The transcript is spliced from 5 exons. The record is from RefSeq and is a predicted model, not a curated record. NCBI's taxonomy places the organism in Eukaryota, Metazoa, Chordata, Mammalia, Rodentia, Muridae.